RNAcentral lists this ribosomal RNA (265 nucleotides) under uncultured bacterium. RNAcentral describes it as "partial 16S ribosomal RNA". It matches the Rfam family "Bacterial small subunit ribosomal RNA", at positions 88 to 354 of the family's 1533-position model. The record is from RNAcentral.
AUGGCGACCGGCGCACGGGUGAGUAACACGUAUUCAACCUGCCGAUGACUCGGGGAUAGCCUUUCGAAAGAAAGAUUAAUACCCGAUGGCAUAGUUCUUCCGCAUGGUAGAACUAUUAAAGAAUUUCGGUCAUCGAUGGGGAUGCGUUCCAUUAGCUUGUUGGCGGGGUAACGGCCCACCAAGGCAUCGAUGGAUAGGGGUUCUGAGAGGAAGGUUCCCCACAUUGGAACUGAGACACGGUCUAAACUCCUACGGGAGGCAGCAG